ACAAAAUCUUCAUUUAUUUGAAGACACAAUUCUCUGUACGGGCACUUGCCAUGACUUUAUUUUUGAAUAUUUCUGUGUUCAUGUGGUAGGGAAAACAUUGUUGUAUACUACAAAUUCCCUGUUUUGCUUUUAGGUUGGAGACUACAUAAGACUUUGACAGUUGGCGGGAAACCAUCUUCAACUGGAGAGAUGCCGGAAGAGGAAUGUCUGCGACUAAGUCAAGGGCCACUGGAUAAGGGUUGUUGAUGGCAAAACAGGUUGGAGACUACAUAAGACUUUGACAGUUGGCGGGAAACCAUCUUCAACUGGAGAGAUGCCGGUAAAAAGAUGGCCAUAAAACAGUGACCGCUGAUUCGCAUUGAGUUCUUUCUUACAUAUUGGAUGACCUAUGUUUUUUAUUGUUUAAAUCAUUGCGGCUUGGAAUGCUCUUUAAGAAAAGGUAUGGUUAUGGGGGUGUCUACGCGCAAAAGUUUGACUUUAUUUUUUGUUAAAGUUAUUGCUUUUACAUUGAAUUUGUGCAGGAAAUCUUUUGGUAUGUUGUGA
Dreissena polymorpha is the source of this 543-nucleotide long non-coding RNA. RefSeq lists it as uncharacterized. NCBI's taxonomy places the organism in Eukaryota, Metazoa, Mollusca, Bivalvia, Myida, Dreissenidae. The transcript has 3 exons. The record is from RefSeq and is a predicted model, not a curated record.